UUUCUGAAAUAAAAACAACUAUCAUAUAGAAAAAUGUGUGAUGUGACCUUUCAUAAGGAAUUAUCAAAAUCGCACCAAUAUAACUAUAAAAAACUUCCGACUUUUAGUACUUGGCAAAUCCGCUAUCUUGAAAUGGGGACCAUUUUGAAUAGCUACCAACCCUUUUGAGAUGUCUAUCAUACCUCUUUAUGCUUACAAUAGCAUCCACUAUCAUCCCCCAAAGUGGCACUUUGGAAUGAAAGAGUCUAAGGAUGUGGAAGAUUCGGUUAGUCUUACAUACGAAUGGACGAAAGUAUUUUUUAACAUUCAGCUUUUUUCAUUUUCGAAAAUGUUUCUUUGUACAACUCGAAAGCGUAGGUUGCUAUUAUAUGCAGUCGCGGACCUAUUUCGUUUUGUUGCCUAUUUAAUUUCAACUCAACGCGUUCCAGUUAGUCUAACAUACACAUCUACUAUGCAUAAGGUAUUCAUGAAAUGCAUUCUUAACUGUACAAGAUCCACCCCUUUUCUUCGAUAAAUCAAUAAAUUAUAAGCAACACUAGAAGGCGUGGCUGUGUGAAGUAAUUAUUGUUUUCCUAAACAGAAGAUACUUACUUACCUCUAGAAACUAUGCAACUAUGGCCAUUGUAUGCCAUCGGCAUGCUAGCACAUAUCACCCAUAGUAAAAAUAAUAACGCUAUGCAAAUGAUAUAUCCAUAACAUUCGAAUUUCACAAAAUACAUCAUUAAUAUUGUUUAUCUUACAAAUCUAUGUUAAUUUUUAGCCUUCAAGCUGUAUGAACUUACAUUACUCUAGCAGUGGUCUUUCAUUGUUAGUUACCUUACAGGUGUACCUACAAGAUGCUGAAUUCGAAGUUUCUAGCUUUCGCGAUCCUUAUGGCAUUAAAUAAACAAUUCACGACGGCGCACCCCAUUUUUAAUUCAGAAAGUGAUUCUGAUCCAAUUUCGAUUGCAUUUUCAAUAUAUGAUUUGGGAGGAUUUGGAAGUCGUGAAUGGCGUGAUAGUGACUGGUAUAAUAGACAUGUCAAGGACUGGAAACGUUACGACGAACCCCCAUACAGUUACUGGGAUUUUUAUGACGAGUACGAAGGGUAGUCAGUGUUUUAGCUUAUAGAGCAUGAAAAAUUCUUUUGGACUGUCGACAACAAAAAAACAGUAAUUUUCCGUACGGUCCUUCAAUUUUUCGUUACUGCACACCGUAAUAUAACAAAUUAGUCAGCGAGACGAGGAGAAAUUUCAAAAAGUGAUACUACUACUCUCAGCAUUCUUCAAAUAUCAAUCAUUUUAAACGGAUUUCAGCUUGCCAAAUUCCAUUAUCAAAGCCUAACGCUAUAACAUAAAGCUGAACUGAUUGCUCACUAAUUACGCUGGUAAUAUGAGCAUUUUUGAAGAACAGCAAAGAAUAUUAGUAUAAGUUGUGUUGUAUUAGCUCUUGCUGUUGUAAGCUUAAACUUGUUUUAAGUAACUAAAAAUUACAUGUCGAAAAAAUAAACUGAAACACUAUUCUUUAAUUACAUUGCCACAUCUACGCCUGCGUGUCUUCCUCGCCAAUUAGAAAGCGUCUUGGGCCGAUUUUAUUAGUUUUGUAUGUCAUUUUAU
Photinus pyralis (common eastern firefly) is the source of this 1595-nucleotide long non-coding RNA. RefSeq lists it as uncharacterized. NCBI's taxonomy places the organism in Eukaryota, Metazoa, Arthropoda, Insecta, Coleoptera, Lampyridae. The transcript is spliced from 3 exons. The record is from RefSeq and is a predicted model, not a curated record.